GACGAACGCUGGCGGCGUGCUUAACACAUGCAAGUCGAACGGAAAGGCCCUGCUUUUGUGGGGUGCUCGAGUGGCGAACGGGUGAGUAACACGUGAGUAACCUGCCCUUGACUUUGGGAUAACUUCAGGAAACUGGGGCUAAUACCGGAUAGGAGCUCCUGCUGCAUGGUGGGGGUUGGAAAGUUUCGGCGGUUGGGGAUGGACUCGCGGCUUAUCAGCUUGUUGGUGGGGUAGUGGCUUACCAAGGCUUUGACGGGUAGCCGGCCUGAGAGGGUGACCGGCCACAUUGGGACUGAGAUACGGCCCAGACUCCUACGGGAGGCAGCAGUGGGGAAUAUUGCACAAUGGGCGGAAGCCUGAUGCAGCAACGCCGCGUGCGGGAUGACGGCCUUGGGGUUGUAAACCGCUUUCGCCUGUGACGAAGCGUGAGUGACGGUAAUGGGUAAAGAAGCACCGGCUAACUACGUG
This 468-nucleotide ribosomal RNA is filed under the name uncultured bacterium. Its description in RNAcentral is "partial 16S ribosomal RNA". It matches the Rfam family "Bacterial small subunit ribosomal RNA", at positions 28 to 507 of the family's 1533-position model. The record is from RNAcentral.